This is a long non-coding RNA of Mauremys reevesii (Reeves's turtle), 896 nucleotides long. RefSeq lists it as uncharacterized. The transcript has 4 exons. The record is from RefSeq and is a predicted model, not a curated record. Lineage: Eukaryota; Metazoa; Chordata; Testudines; Geoemydidae.
AGCUCUGAGCCCAAGGGGCCAGGGUGCCUGGAAGGGCAGAGUGAGAGCUGGCCACUCUUUCUCCUGCCCCUAACACUAUCUCUGUGCUGGGGAUGGUGUGGAUUCUCCUGCCAUGGGUUCUCAACCUACGGGGUUGCAAAUAGGUCCAGGGGAGGGGAGCAUCUUUGACCACCACCCUCCUUUUCUUUAUGGCUAGAUAGGGGUCUUGAAACUGUUUUCUGUUGUACAGGGUCAUGGCAUGGAAAUAUUAACCACUGCUCUAUGCAAAGAGAAUUCCUAGCUGGGAAGAUCUGCCAGCUUUCCAUCCCCCUUGUGCCACGUGAGUGGGGCCUAGGAUUGACCCAUAGUGUUUAAAAUAGGGUAUGAAGGACUGAGAAGUGGUAGACAUGGGGAUGGUAUCCAAGGGAGUAUAUGUGCAUUUAUUUCCUGAGCAGCUAGAAGCAAGAUGGCUCUCAAGAUCAGCAAACUUUCCUUCCUACACAACGUUAAGAAGACUAAAAAGUUCAUGGAUGAUAUUUUUAGAGAGAAGGUGAAGAAACGGAGAGGAAACGAGAUUUGCCAGACUCAAUGUAAAAUAACAAGAGAUGAAUUUUUCCAGCAGUGCCCCAGGAGUUUUACUUGCUCUGAUGGAAAAAGCUAUUUCCACUUCUUAAAUGGGCAGAAGAGAAGCUGAGGGAGCUCCACCCUGGGACUGAACACGAUUGAUAAGGGAAUAUUCCAAUUAGAGUUUGGAUAGUUGGUGAUAGUUUCGCAUUUGGGCUGAAGUCAUGAGAGGAUGCGAAGACUGAUACAGUGAGAAAACAAAAUAAUUUGAAAGAACAAAGGGAAAACAAGUCUCUUGUAAAAGAACCAGGAAAAUAAGCACUGUAGUAGUGGGGAAAGAAGAAAGUCUAGAA